GUGGCACUUGCUAUUUUCACUCCCAUUUUAUACUAAUAUACUACCUCUUUUCUUUUCCUCUUUUUACCCAUACAAAAUGUACUCCCCUUUUUCUUUCUCCCCAAUUUAAUUAAUUUCUGGAAUAUAACUCUUCUAGAAUAACACACUCCCCUUCCACCCACUCAACAUCCAGCAACCUGUUCUGGGAGAAAAACCCAUCACUGACAAACCCGUCGUGGUAGGGACACCGGAACCCGAGCUUUCUGUCAAUCGAUGACUCAAUUGUGGUGCACUUUGUGUGAUCGAAUCAUAGACAUGCAUCAAUCUCUUCAAAAUCAACAAAUUCAAACAAACAUGGAAGAUUGAGCUUGAGAGCUUCGUGGGAACAAUCUCUUAGACUGAAAGACCAAUUUUCCCACAUACCAGAUUUAAUUUUGCCUACCCCUUUCUUUCUCUCUUCAUUGAAGUCAAAUAACGCGAUGCAAAGGGAGAUUUUCUCUUAGCAUUAGGCUUAUACCCCGAGUUUCUCCAUCAAAUCCAUCAAUUUAUUAGCAUCCCAGGCACGCCUUGAGUAACAAGAAACUGGAUCCUAAUACUGAAAGUGGCUAAUUGGGGCAUACAACCCUUCACCUGGCACCCUGCGUCCCUGCCUCCCCCAGCAAACCCUAGCCGCCAUCAAGCCUCCAUAACCACCGUGCACCCAACACCACGUGCCAUUUCAGGAUGACAUCUCCACUAGUGAGGACUGGUGGAAAACCCUUAAUAAAUUUGGGGAGUGUGUUUUUUUCAGAAGAGUUAUAUGAGAGGAAGAAAGAGGGAAGUGUGUGUCUA
RNAcentral lists this long non-coding RNA (810 nucleotides) under Glycine max (soybean). RNAcentral's name for it is "long non-coding RNA (GMAX_LNC003498)". The record is from RNAcentral. Lineage: Eukaryota; Viridiplantae; Streptophyta; Magnoliopsida; Fabales; Fabaceae.